GCACCGCUGGGGAGUCCCACAAUAGGACGAAACAGCUGUCCAGUGC
This 46-nucleotide non-coding RNA is filed under the name Schistosoma margrebowiei. Lineage: Eukaryota; Metazoa; Platyhelminthes; Trematoda; Strigeidida; Schistosomatidae. The record is from RNAcentral.